GAAUAGCCCAGAGAAAUUUGGAUUAAUACCCCGUAAUAUAACGGUGUGGCAUCACAUUGUUAUUAUAGGUUUACCGCUAAGAGAUGGGUGUGCGGCUGAUUAGGUAGUUGGCGGAGUAAUAGCCCACCAAGCCGACGAUCAGUAGCUGAUGUGAGAGCAUGAUCAGCCACACGGGCACUGAGACACGGGCCCGACUCCUACGGGAGGCAGCAGUAAGGAAUAUUGGACAAUGGACGCAAGUCUGAUCCAGCCAUGCCGCGUGAAGGAUUAAGGCCCUCUGGGUUGUAAACUUCUUUUAUAGGGGACGAAAAAAGGGCUUUCUAGCUCGUCUGACGGUACCCUAUGAAUAAGCACCGGCUAACUCCGUGCCAGCAGCCGCGGUAAUACGGAGGGUGCAAGCGUUAUCCGGAUUCACUGGGUUUAAAGGGUGCGUAGGCGGGCAGUUAAGUCAGUGGUGAAAUCUUCGAGCUCAACUCGGAAACUGCCAUUGAUACUAUCUGUCUUGAAUACUGUGGAGGUGAGCGGAAUAUGUCAUGUAGCGGUGAAAUGCUUAGAUAUGACAUAGAACACCGAUUGCGAAGGCAGCUCGCUACACAAAUAUUGACGCUGAGGCACGAAAGCGUGGGGAUCAAACAGGAUUAGAUACCCUGGUAGUCCACGCCCUAAACUAUGGAUACUCGACAUUUGCGAUACACAGUAAGUGUCUGAGCGAAAGCAUUAAGUUCCCACCUGG
This 733-nucleotide ribosomal RNA is filed under the name Sediminibacterium sp. Its description in RNAcentral is "bacterial SSU rRNA". It matches the Rfam family "Bacterial small subunit ribosomal RNA", at positions 141 to 876 of the family's 1533-position model. Lineage: Bacteria; Pseudomonadati; Bacteroidota; Chitinophagia; Chitinophagales; Chitinophagaceae. The record is from RNAcentral.